GGAUAGCUUGGCUGGCUUGGAUAGCUUGGCUGGUCUGGCUCCGUACCACAGGCAAGACGGCGUCGCUGAUGGAAAAUAAGAAGAGGAAAAUAGUCAUAUAUAUAACCAGCAAAUGAACGAACCAACGAACCAGCUGAAUGAAAGCGGCAGCAACAACAACUGCGAGGACGUCGCUGGCGACUCUUGCAACUGCAACCAGCGGCAGCAGCAACAUCAGCCAUCACCAGGCACCGGACCUGGCCAAGAACGAGAAUUCCAAGUGCUGGUCAUCACGCCGAAAUGGGCAUGCCCUUGCCAACCGAUCGAUACUAUUUUUGUAUGCCAUAGAAACCCUACAUUAGACCAAAAUAAAAAAUGUUUGAAUGAUCUAGGAUAUUUGUAG
Molecule: non-coding RNA, 382 nt
Organism: Drosophila melanogaster (fruit fly)
Lineage: Eukaryota; Metazoa; Arthropoda; Insecta; Diptera; Drosophilidae
Source: Ensembl